AAGGGCCCCGCCCACCGAAGCCACGCCCAGUAGCCGCCCCGGGGCGGGGUUCCCCUCGGCUCCCGGCUGCCCUUUCCCCUCCGGCCUCUGCCGGUGCUGCUGCGCCCAGCGGAGCUCCGAGCACGUGCGCAGAGGCUGGCUGUGGCAGAUGCAACUGCAGGAUGACUUGAAAGUAGGGCAUCCUUCACCCAUCUGAAGGGAGGAAAUAGUGGCAGGUGACAGUCUGCAUGUGCAGUUUUCAGAUGCCUUCACCUGAAUGACAUCUACCUCCGUCAGGACCCCAGAUGUCUGACAGCCCUGUGUGACACCAAGAUAAGUAACAAUCUGGCUGCUGACUACCCUAUUGGACAACUCCAAUAUUAGAGAACAUUUCCACCAAUUCAGAAAGUUUAUUAUGCACUGCUGUUCUAGAGCAGGGAUCAGCAAACUUGCUGUAAAGAGCCAGGAUCCCGUUGAAGAUACCACAUUACACUUAGGCUCCUGUUGGCCAUGACAGCUUCUUAGACUUGUUUUUAAUGACCUUGACAGUUUUGUUUUUUUUUUGUUUGUUUUUGAGACGGAGUCUCUGUCAUCCAGGCUGGAGUGCAAUGUAAUGGCUCAAUCUCAGCUCACUGCAACCUCUGCCUCCCGGGUUCAAGUGAUUCUCCUGCCUCAGCCUCCCCAGUAGCUGGGAUUACAGGCACGAGCCACCGUGCCCAGCCGCCUCCUAAAUUCUUAAAACGUUCCAUUUUUAUUCUGUGGUCUUAGUUUAUUCUGUCAUGUAGAGAAUAGUGGUUGAGCCUGUUGUCUUUUGAGAGUGGAUGCUGUAGUCCUUACAUGGCUGACUUUCACCCCGUAAGCUUAUAGUAGAGGAUGGGGAUUUUGUUAUCAGCUGCUAAAAGGGAGAAGCCAAGCCCAGAACUAAGGGUUCUGAUGAGUUGAAGGAGAGGGAAGAUGCCCCUCAAGGCAAAGAGCCUCUGAGUUAGAAUCUGUGCUUCACCAGAGUGACAAUGGUAGAACUUCUCCUUCUCAGUAUUAAUUCUCCUGGAGAGAACUCUAGGGUUGUCUAAACCUGUUCAAAUAGGCUGACUACCCCAGCAAGUGAUGGGUUGGACAUAAGGCAAAGAACAGGAGGGGUGAAAGGGGGCAGAACAGACAAGUUCUGUCCCAGCCUCUGCUACCUCUAACCCCAUGGCAUUCUAUCCUUUUCUACACUGGGUUUCCAUUUCUUACCCCAACAAUGAUCUGUUCUUCCAGGCGCUGUCAUUUAAUUUCCCAGACACUUGACCUGCUUCUGAUUUGUGUACUCCCUCCAUGGCUGAGUUGCAGUGAGUGACAAUAAUCUGUGCUAAUUACUUAUCUUGCCAGAAGACUCAAAGGGUUUAUGGCUUUUACUAAUUGAACUCUAUGCUAGAUGUUAGGGAUAAAUGGUUAACAGGACACAGUUCUUGAUUAUCUUGCUAUGGUCUGUCAAGCCUUAUACAAUCUAGCCUUAUCUCUCUCACCCUCUUAUCUUUAUCACCCGUAGAUUCCCUUGUUGGCCACUGGUUUCUUUCAGUCCUUAAUUAGCCUUUUGUCACUACCUGUCUACACAUGCUGUUUUUCCCUUCUCAUUCCAUCUUGACAUUGUCUAUUUUGAGAUCUCAGCUCAGUUGCAGAGAAGCUGCCUUCCCCAUCUGGCAACCCAUUAUAUGUGUCAGAGUACCAUGUUGUACCAUAGAGCUAGACACAGGUGCCAUGUUGUGUCUUGAAAUGUAUUCACCAGCUUCCAAAGGUUUACCUCAAUCCCCUUUACUCAAGAAGCCUCAGUUCUACUGACAGUUGGUAAUAAUAACCUCUCUGUCAUAAUGUACCCAAAAUAGAGUAAGAAUAUCAUGCUUUUCAGUAAUACUCCAGUGAGUGAGGCUAAGAGUACCAUUUUUGUUCUUAUAAAAGAAUUUUUUUGGACAUGAAUACAAAGGUGUCAGGUUACCAAAUCAUUUGCUAGUAGACCCUAACAAUAUCACCUAUAGGAAACUAAACGUAGCCUUUAAACAUUAAGUGAUGAUAAUGGAUUUGGCCAGGCGCGGUUGCCUAUAAUCCCAACACUGAGAGGCUGAGGUGGGUGGAUCACUUGAGGCCAGGACAGGACCAGCAUGGCCAACAUGGUGAAACCCCGUCUCUACAAAAGAAAAAAAUAUAAAAAUUAGCUGGGUGUUGUGGUGCAUGCCUGUAAUCCCAACUAUUUGGGUGGCUGAGGCACGAGAAUCGCUUGAACUUGGAAGGCAGAGGUUGCAGUGAGCUGAGAUCGUGCCACUGCACUCCAGCCUGGGUAACAGACUGAGACAGUCUCAAAAAAAAAAAAAAGAAAAUAAUGGAUUUGCAGAGACUUGCUAUUUAGAUUUCAGACAUCUGUUAACUAAAACACACGUGUAGGCUUUUGUUACUUAUUUCAGUAAUCUGUAAAUAUCUUUAUAUUUGAGAAAAUUCGUGAGACAUCUUUGUGUAAAUUAUAACUUGAAGAACCUCUCUUACAAGCAGGCAUAUUGGUAAGUCGCUGCGAGGAUAUAACUUAUAACCAGACUGAAGUGUAUAAUUAUAAUAUGUUAUUAUUCUGGGGUUCUAUAAAAAAUAAAAUCUUUGAAUCUA
Molecule: long non-coding RNA, 2607 nt
Organism: Pan troglodytes (chimpanzee)
Lineage: Eukaryota; Metazoa; Chordata; Mammalia; Primates; Hominidae
Exons: 6
Source: RefSeq, a predicted model, not a curated record